Molecule: RNA transcript, 5645 nt
Organism: Carassius auratus (goldfish)
Lineage: Eukaryota; Metazoa; Chordata; Actinopteri; Cypriniformes; Cyprinidae
Exons: 4
Source: RefSeq, a predicted model, not a curated record
UGUAUCCACAAAAAAAAAAAAAAAACAAUAAUGCACCCCAGCUCUCAGAACUACAUGGAGUAAACAAAAAAGUAGUGUUUAUGCACACUUAUAUAGGAUGGCCUGUGUGUGAAGUGCUUGUCUUUCCUUGAUGGUAAAGGGAGUUUCAAACCUUAAAAUUUUAUUAUGAACCAAAAUGCAAUACCAACUUCAAAAUAAGCUACAGCUUGCUGGAGUGGUCCAGCUGUAUAAUUUCUAAGACUUUUGUACAAAGUCAAGCCCUUUCCUUAGCCAUUCCACACCAUCAAAUGACCUGCAGGAUGGCAUAAGAGUUUGAAUCCACAUACUUUUUUUUAAUCUAUACUUAACACAAUCAUUAAAAGGCAGUAGGUGCAUAAACAUUUGUUUACUCCAUGUAGUUCUGAGCUGUACAUUUUGAUUUUCUCAAAUACAUCAAGGUAAGUGCACAAAGUUCUCUCUCUGUUUCGCACACACACAAUAUAAUAUGCUGUUAUACCCCAUAUAGCUUCAUUUACAAGUCAGAAACUAAGCUUUUUUUGCAAAAGCCCAUCUAAAGGGUUCAUGGUCCCACAUAGUGAUCAACUGGAGUAACAAAUUUUACCUCUUCCCAACAGAGAAAACCACAAAACAAGAAUGCAUGAUUAUAUGGUGUCAUGGCUUUGCAAUCAAAAUGUCAUUAUAAUAGAAGUCAAUGGGGCAAAAACAGCCACCAAUAAUAAAAUGGAUAAUUUUUUUUUCUAAUGUUGCAUAAAAACUAAAAGUGCAUAAAAGCCAAUGAUGUUACUAAUCUUUUACAUACCCAAGACUGUAAUAAAAAGUAACAAAAAAAUCCAGUCACAAUACUUUUAUAUUGAAAGUGACAAUUUAUGAACUUGCCACUUAAAGAGUUGAAAUCUUGGAUCGUUUUAAAAAUGUAGUAGUUUUCAUUAGGACUGAGGUUGAUUGAUAGAUUCAUGCAAAAAUAAAAAAUAAAUAGAGACAUUUUUACAGCAGUUUAAUGAAGUUGAUGUUUUUAUCCUGAACAUAACAAAAAGGUAGUGAAUUUGAACAAUGCACAAGGGUUAAACAUUUACUUCAACAAUAUACUUCAAACUCUUUUUAAUGGUUACAAAUAGUUGCCUUACCUCAGCUUGCAGUCUUUAACCAGUGCACCACCACACAUAAAAGAAAAAAAUGGGUAUACUUGUCAGGCAUGCUUUGUUAUACAGUACAUUUACUUCAGCAGUAUAUUCUAAGUGCAUUUUAAUAAAGUUCAAGAAGUUUGUCAUACCUCAACUUUGUCUUUUACCAGUGUACCACCACAUGCAAAAAAGUGAUAAGUUAAGCAUUUUAGGAACUUAACAUACAUUUAAAAAGUACAUUCAAAUUAUUUUUACAUAUACAAGAAUUAUAAAGGUUAAAUCAACUCACACUCUUGUCAAUUCACCAGCACACAUAAAAAGUAGUACGGUUUAGCAUAUAUUCAAGUUACACAACUUUUCAUAGUUAAUUAUAAACUCUUUAUUAAGCUUUAUCAAUUAAGAAGACCAUUUUCAAGAAAAUAUAGUGUAGACUACUAAAACUAAAUUACUUUGUUUAUAUAAUUUGUAAACAAUCUGAAUCAGAAUUAGUAAAUUCUUGUGCAUCACUUUACCAAAAAAUAAAAAUAAAAACCCACACAAAAUCCCUAAUAUUAAACAUAAAAUUACCUUCCGAUAAACUCCAGAAUUGCAUUACAGAUCAAACAAUAGACUAGCAUAAUAAGAAAACUAUCCAAUUAAAGUAAAGAGAAAACACUUCAAAGGAGUUGCCAUUUUGAACACAUGGUCAUUGCAAACAACAAGCAAAAUGAACAUAUUAAAUAUUUGAGCAAAAUAUCCACAAUCAAAACUAAGAAGAAAUAAUCAAUACACAGACACUUUUAAAACAAACAUACCUGCUUUAGAAAAACAGAUAAACCGAGCAGCACAUGCUCUCUCCUUGAUAUACUGCCAAAUUAAGACCAGGUGCAGCUUGAUGAAUUGGUUAGCAUGUGCUCUAAUGCUUCUGUGAACGUUCUCAUACCUUAACCUCUCCUCUGAAGCUCGUUGAAUAUGCAUCGAUGGUUGCACAUGCACCAAAUAGCUCUUGUGGACUGAAGUGAAUGUUGCUUUUGCUCCAGAUAUUGGAUUUUCUGUGUGUAUUGUAGCAUAAAUUUGUUUUUUGGUCAAUCUGAUCUGAAUUGCUGUUCAUUUUUUUUAACUUGUCCACUUCUGAACUUAUUUGUUGUUUAAUCUACAUUCUAUUUCAGCUGUAUUUGCUUUUCUUGCUCUGCACUAUAUUACAUAAACAUUCUUGGUUAGCAUGCAAGUUAGUGCUUGAUCUGUGUUCCUUUUUAUAUUAAAACAUAUUUUCAAAAUUAUGGUGACUGUGUUCCAUAUGUUGGCAGAGUGUGAUAACAUGCUCUCACGGAUGAUGUCACAGGUUUUAAUUUUUGUUUGGGGUGACAUUAUAAUAGAACAUCUGAUCAACAAUACAGGAAUAACUAUACAUAUUUUCAGUUGCUCAUCCUGCUCUGCAUUACACUUGCUACCCAUAUUGCUGGUUGCAGAUAUUUUAUAUUCUUUAUAUAUUCAUAGUUAUUGAAAGACAUUAUAUUUGCGGUACUGUAUUGUUUUGUUACAUUUGAUAUCAUAACCCCCAACAAGUUUCACUUCACUGAUGCAGAUGUGUGCUUGUGUUUUCAGAAAUAUAUUAAACCAUGAAAAAAAUUAUAUAUACAAACUAUUUAAAGAUAUUUCUUAUUAUAAAAUAUAUUUUGUUUCAGAGUCAAUUUCAUGUUCUUAGAAAAGUUUUUCAUGAUUUUGCUUAAUUAUUAUGCUAAUGUUAAUGAACUACUAACCAAAUACUGAACAAUGUACACAAAAAUCAUUAAGAUUAAAUAAGAUUAAAUAAUAAAAAAACAGCAACAUUUGUCAGUCAACAUUUCGAAAAUGAUAUAUAAAAGUAUACAAACAAGUUAAUAAUAACAUAUGGCAUGUUGUCCAUAUCAUGUGAACCUGUCAUUAUCAUGUGAACACAAUAAACUAACGAGCUCAUUAACAAUUUCCUCAUUACUCAAUUAAGCUGCACAAUUGCAAAAAAACAUUUAAAUAAGCUAUUUUAUUUGGUUCAAACUUGACCACGUGGUGCAUCAACCGUAGUGAAGUCAGCUGAAGAACAGAAAACGGUAAGAAUUUGUUCUUAUGUGUGUAAAAUGUUUUCAGUUUCUUAAACCCUACAUGUACUAAUUCUAUAUCCUAUCUUAAUUUUUUUCUAGAUAUGGCAAGUACUUCAACUGCCAGUCUUAACCAGUCUGUUACUGGCUACAUACACAAUGUCACACCUCUGCGUCAUGGGGUUAAAAGACAGUACUUUGAAGGAGUCUUACAACAACGCCACAAAGUAUGUAAGGUUGUGGUGUUCAAGGUGGAGCUCCAUUCGAAGUUUCUGAAGAUUGAGAAAGACCGAUGCCCGGUCCAACUCAAUAAUGUGGUUGUCCAGCCAUCAAGGAGAGAAGAUGGAAUGGACAUACUCUUCACCCACCAAUCAAAAUGGUGUUGUUUGACUUCAAUUGACUACCCUUACAACCCCACCAUAAUGGUCACCAUUCAAGACCAAACAAUUAGUCAGAUUCUGCAAAUCGACAUGGAAUACCACAGAAUCCAGGAACUGAAUUCAUAAUUAAAUAUCAGGUUAACAUCACCGCAAAGCUGAUCCAGAGGGAAAGCGAAGGACAUGCCUUCCUUCAGGAUGAUGUCUUGUUAGAAAAGGCAGUCUACACCAUAGCGGACACCACAGGAAUAAUGGAGCUCACUGUCUGGGGCGAGCAAAACCUUCAGCUGGACUCCUGGUUUUAUAUAACCAAUGUUUCUUUACGGAUGUUCCGAGGUACAAAAUUCCUAUCCACAACAAAAGACACAAAAUUCACACCCACCACAUGCACUGACCCCACAUUUCCACUACAGCCCACCACAUCUGAACAGGUCACUGGAAACAUAAUUGGCGCCAAAGUUACCAUAAUAUACAUUUGUCCACUUAAGCAUAAGUUGCAUAACAUGGCACUUUCCUGCACAAGAGUCCUGUGUGACAAGUGCGAUAUAUUUUACAGAACUGACGCCAUUACACUACACACACACGCCAGGCUCAAAAUAACCACCACAACUUCAGAUGAAAUAAAAUCUGUUAACAUCGAGAACCACGUUCUCCGAGCCACGAUCCAAAUUCCAAAAAACGCCACAACCGACACAAUAAUGGACUCUAUUUUGGACCUCCCCACUAUGAACAUAACAAUACACAACCACUACAUUACCCACCUGGCAUAUCCAGAGAAAUCUCAUACAGACACCCCACAACCCAACAGUCCACUUGUGCACUUCUCCCCACCUACACAACCACCAGCUCCAAGUGAAGACCUAGCGGAACUUGACCUUUUUAUGGUGGAAUCUCCACUAGACACCCAGCCAAAAGUAAACCAGCCAACUCCCCCAUCUCCCACUUCUAUUGCUGAUACCCCAAAAUAAGUAAUGCCUUGUUGGUUUUAAAUUGAAACUUAUUUUUUUUUUUUUUUUUUUUUUACUGGAAAUGUGGUGUUUUAAGUUUCAAUCCUGUGUACGCUUGAGGUAGCUCUUUUUAUCCUCCCUAAUUUAAAUUGUGAAUAUUGAAGAUGUUGUAUACAUUUCCAAAAAUAUAUUUCUGUCUUUGACUAUGGGGAUGUGUUAUUUCUGUUAAUAAAGAACCCUCACUUCAAUGCUUUACUCUUGUUUGCUUUAUUAAAUUGCUGCAAAGUUGGUUUGUCAAUACACAAUGGGAGAAGUUUAAUUUUGUUUAACCUUUUAAUCUGUUAGUGUCUUUACUUGAGACCGAGAUGAGAAUUUUGUCAGACUUGUUAAAGCUACUUGUACACUAUUUUGAAGUCCUUUCCAAUAUCUUUUAAACUUAACAUGGCUGAACAAGAGGUGCAUGUCCUGAAAGACUACAUGCUAUGCACUCUAUAGUUUGACAUUUUGCAAGUUUAUUGCAAAAGUUAACCUAUUUGAAACCCCUUUUAAUUACUAAGAAAUAACUACUGGAAUUGAGCAUGCCUAUGUUUGACUUCACAUUAAUUGCAAACUGCAUGACCAUUAACCAGAAGUUAUUAAAUUGUGUACUGAACAAGGUCAACCUCAAAUCGGUUCAGAGGCUAUCUAGUCUUAAGUUUAAUUUAAUCGAAACCAAAUUUGGUACACUCCAUCUACACCAUUAUCUGAGGGUUCAAUGGGAACAAUGCCACCUAUGGGUGUUGAGAUACCAAAAAUGCACAUUUGCCUAACUCCUGAAAAGUCAGUCAGAAAAUUAUGAUCUUGGUGCCUAUGGAUUCUGUGGGUUAUGCCAACUCGGUCUCAUUCAUCAUUUUCCAACAUGACGUCUGUCCACAAUAUUGAGUUGAAUAAACUUUUUUUUUUUUUUUUUUUUGCAAUUACACCUUUGAAAUCUGGUUCAAUUUUGUAAAAUUUUAUAUCUUAAGACCAGAUUUAUGAUAUUCACUCCCAUUCCCGACAUGUACCUCUUGGAUGUUGACCGUGCCUGUGCUUGUUGAUUUAUGCUAGUUAGCUUAGCAUGCUAAUUAGCUAAAAUGCUAACACGUUUCUAUUGACUCUAAUGGGUCU